AUCUCUUCUCAGCCUUUUGGCUAAGAUCAAGUGUAGUUUGAUAUCUUUACUGGUUAUGGUACCAUUUAAAUUUUUGAUUAAGAAAAUUCAU
Small nuclear RNA from Heterocephalus glaber (naked mole-rat), 91 nucleotides. Its record names the gene U2. It matches the Rfam family "U2 spliceosomal RNA". Rfam says of the family: U2 is a small nuclear RNA (snRNA) component of the spliceosome (involved in pre-mRNA splicing). Complementary binding between U2 snRNA (in an area lying towards the 5' end but 3' to hairpin I) and the branchpoint sequence (BPS) of the intron results the bulging out of an unpaired adenosine, on the BPS, which initiates a nucleophilic attack at the intronic 5' splice site, thus starting the first of two transesterification reactions that mediate splicing. NCBI's taxonomy places the organism in Eukaryota, Metazoa, Chordata, Mammalia, Rodentia, Bathyergidae. The record is from Ensembl.